This 413-nucleotide ribosomal RNA is filed under the name uncultured eukaryote. Its description in RNAcentral is "SSU rRNA". It matches the Rfam family "Eukaryotic small subunit ribosomal RNA", at positions 592 to 1018 of the family's 1831-position model. The record is from RNAcentral.
CAAUAGCGUAUAUUAAAGUUGUUGCAGUUAAAAGCUCGUAGUUGGAUUUCUGGGAGGGUGCCAAUGUCCGUCGUCGUACGUGUUGCAGCGGCGCCCUUCCAUCCUUCUGUUAACGACUUUGGGCAUUCAUUUGCCGGAGUCGGGCUCAGAUAUUUUACCUUGAGAAAAUUAGAGUGUUUCAGGCAGGCUAGGCCGGAAUACAUUAGCAUGGAAUAAUAGAAUAGGACUGGGUCCAUUUUGUUGGUUAUUGGACGCAGUGAUGAUUAAUAGGGACAGUUGGGGGCAUUAGUAUUUAAUUGUCAGAGGUGAAAUUCUUGGAUUUAUUAAAGACUGACUUAUGCGAAAGCAUUUGCCAAGGAUGUUUUCAUUGAUCAAGAACGAAAGUUAGGGGAUCAAAGACGAUUAGAUACCAU